RNAcentral lists this transfer RNA (73 nucleotides) under Ferruginibacter sp. RNAcentral describes it as "tRNA-Lys". It matches the Rfam family "tRNA". From Rfam's summary of the family: Transfer RNA (tRNA) molecules are approximately 80 nucleotides in length. Their secondary structure includes four short double-helical elements and three loops (D, anti-codon, and T loops). Lineage: Bacteria; Pseudomonadati; Bacteroidota; Chitinophagia; Chitinophagales; Chitinophagaceae. The record is from RNAcentral.
UGGCUCGUAGCUCAAUGGUAGAUGCACCGAGCUUUUAACUCGGGGGCUGUGAGUUCGAAUCUCACCGGGCCAA